RNAcentral lists this ribosomal RNA (253 nucleotides) under uncultured bacterium. Its description in RNAcentral is "partial 16S ribosomal RNA". It matches the Rfam family "Bacterial small subunit ribosomal RNA", at positions 524 to 776 of the family's 1533-position model. The record is from RNAcentral.
UACGUAGGGGGCAAGCGUUGUCCGGAUUCAUUGGGCGUAAAGAGCGUGUAGGCGGCCAGGUAGGUCGGUUGUGAAAACUGCAGGCUCAACCUUCAGAGGUCGACCGAAACCAUCUGGCUAGAGUCCGGGAGAGGAGAGUGGAAUUCCUGGUGUAGCGGUGAAAUGCGCAGAUAUCAGGAAGAACACCCGUGGCGAAAGCGGCUCUCUGGAACGGUACUGACGCUGAGACGCGAAAGCGUGGGGAGCGAACAGG